This 442-nucleotide ribosomal RNA is filed under the name uncultured bacterium. RNAcentral's name for it is "partial 16S ribosomal RNA". It matches the Rfam family "Bacterial small subunit ribosomal RNA", at positions 338 to 795 of the family's 1533-position model. The record is from RNAcentral.
CCUACGGGAGGCAGUAGUGGGGAAUAUUGGGCAAUGGGCGCAAGCCUGACCCAGCAACGCCGCGUGAAGGAAGACGGCUUUCGGGUUGUAAACUUCUUUUAAGAGGGAAGUGCAGAAGACGGUACCUCUUGAAUAAGCCACGGCUAACUACGUGCCAGCAGCCGCGGUAAUACGUAGGUGGCAAGCGUUGUCCGGAUUUACUGGGUGUAAAGGGCAUGUAGCCGGGCUGACAAGUCAGAUGUGAAAUCCGGGGGCUCAACCGCCGAACUGCAUUUGAAACUGGUGGUCUUGAGUAUCGUAGAGGCAGGCGGAAUUCCUAGUGUAGCGGUGAAAUGCGUAGAUAUUAGGAGGAACACCAGUGGCGAAGGCGGCCUGCUGGACUUUUACUGACGCUGAGGCUCGAAAGUGUGGGGAGCAAACAGGAUUAGAUACCCCUGUAGUC